Molecule: ribosomal RNA, 395 nt
Filed under: uncultured bacterium
Lineage: Bacteria
Description: partial 16S ribosomal RNA
Rfam family: Bacterial small subunit ribosomal RNA
Source: RNAcentral
AUACGUAGGGUGCAAGCGUUAAUCGGAAUUACUGGGCGUAAAGCGUGCGCAGGCGGUUUUGUAAGACAGUGGUGAAAUCCCCGGGCUCAACCUGGGAACUGCCAUCGUGACUGCAAGGCUGGAGUGCGGCAGAGGGGGGUGGAAUUCCGCGUGGAGCAGGGAAAAGCGUAGAUAUGCGGAGGAACACCGAUGGCGAAGGCAAUCCCCUGGGCCUGCACUGACGCUCAUGCACGAAAGCGUGGGGAGCAAACAGGAUUAGAUACCCUGGUAGUCCACGCCCUAAACGAUGUCAACUGGUUGUUGGGGAUUUAUUUUCUCAGUAACGAAGCUAACGCGUGAAGUUGACCGCCUGGGGAGUACGGCCGCAAGGUUAAAACUCAAAUGAAUUGACGGGG